CCCUGUCUCAAAAAAAGAAAAAAAAAAUACAACCUACUUUCUUAGACAUUUUCAAGUAUACAAUAAAUUGUUAUUACUUAUACUCACCUUGUGUCUCUUGAACUUAUUCCUUCUGUCUAACUGAAAUUUUAUACCUUUUCAUCAUUAUCUUCCCAAAUCUUUUUGCCUUUUUGUAUUUGUUAUUUUACUGUAACAAGGAACCUUUUACAUUAACAUUUAUAUUUAAGGUUCUUUUUCCUCUAUGGAAUAUUUGAGGAAAUGGGCAAAAUGAAGUAUUGGAAAUAUAGGUGCUCUCCAAAAAUGAUGUCUCAAGUUUCACUUCCUUUUCUGAAAGAUUUUUGCACAACUAAUAAUUAAAUGGCAAGUCUUUUGUCUUUUUCCUUUUCAAGUUAGCAAGUAAAAUGUUGACAAAUUGUGCCUGGUAUUAGUUAUCUGCAGUUGAUGUGUCUUAGACUGAUUUAACUUUCUUUUUUGUUAUUGAGAUGUUUAUAAAUUGGAUAUAUCAUGUAAAAAAAAGUAAAACAUUUUAACAACAUAAAAUGUAGCUAGAAAAAUAUAAAUUAAAAAAUUAACUCAAAUUUAUUAUUGUAAUUCCUUUAACAAAGUUUCAGAAUGGUAAGAUUGAUACUUACUUUAUAGGCUGUUGGUUUAAAUUCUCUUCUAUAUGGUUAGGCUUCAGAUAUAUAACUGCUUUAAAUCUGGUUUAUCAUCUGUUUUGUUGCAGGGAUUCCUCUGUAAUUGUUUUAUGCAUACUAGAUUUCAUGACUCAUGACAUAUUUUUAACAUUAGGAGAUACUUAAUGACAUGACUUAUCAUUAACCAUUAGUCAACCUGCUUUUUAUUGUGAAAUUUAUUUUUCUCUCCAGAAUAAAAUAGCUCAUCUCAGAGUACAAAAAGUCAUAUUUCUGUUGCAGCAGAAAACUUAAUUAUAGUAAAAAUAAAUGAUGAGUCAUGUCACCAUAUGGAAAUUGCAAGUGUGAAUAACUGAAUUCCUAGAUUCAAGAGAAGACCUGUGAUAAAGGAGCCUAAUAACAAAUUAAAAUUUCCAUCCUUCUUCUAUGUUACAGCUGACUUCUACAUCAAACCAAAAAUAUCUGAAUUUUAUGUAAUAAAGACCAAGUUAUUUUUACUGUCAAUUUUAAGUAUUUUCUAGUAGUAAGAAAUAAGAAUAUCUUGACUAGAUAUUUAGCCAUAUUAAAAUAUAGCUCAUGCAAUUUAUGUUACGUUAAAAUAGUUAAGUUUACUAGAGUUUUGAUUAAGCAUGAUGGCUUGAACAAGCGUAUCUAUCUUUAUUUUCUUUCAAAUCCCCCACUGAAAUAAAAUAAAGACUUAAAUCUGUGAGGAUAAAGAUGAUAAAAGAGAAGAUAGUGUCAGAUAAGAAAUGCUAACAAAAUUGUAGAGCCGGAAGAGUGAUCAUUAUCUUCUAAGAGUAGAAAGAGCAAAAAGCCAAGGGCCUCUAUUGGGGUAAUAUAUAAUAAAUACAUAUUCUAUUGGGAAAUAAUCACAUUUGCACCUCAUGUCUUUGGAAGAUUUUAGAAAUGGGAGCCACAAGCUGCCUGUAAAAAGCUGGGUGCAAAAUACAGCUGAAAACGUAAAGAUUGGCUGAAAGUGUUGAAAAGAAAUUAUAUUCCCAGAUCCUUCCCAUACUGAACUCAGCCCUGGGUUGAACCCAAGAAGCUCUGGACUCAGAGACAGCUGGAGGUAAUGGACUUGGAAGCCAGAUUGAAAGACAUCAUAAAUAGGAAGUGAAAUAAAGAACAGGACAUUGACAAGAGGUUUGGGAACACUGAAGAAAUUAUAUUACAGCUCCAGAAAGAAAGAUAAAUGACAGUACAUUGGAAUAAUAGUCAAAAAGGCAGUAGACUUUUUAAUAACACUGGGAGCCAAAAACAAUGUGAAAUACCUUAAAAAUUCUGAGAAAUGACAAUUUCCAAACUAGAAUUGUCUAUUGAAAUUAUCAAUCAAGUGUAAGGUAGAACACGUAAAUUCUCAAAAAAUUGUUCUCUCAAUGCACCUUUUCUCAGGAAGCUACUGGAGGAAGUACUCCAACAAAACAAGGAAGCAAACAAUAAAAGGAAUACAUGGAUUGUUUUAAAGAAACAGGAAAUUGGAAACGAAGAAGCAAGGCAAUUACUGGAUGUCAGCAGAGCAGCAAGCAAAGAGUUUAAUCCCAUCAAAUAGGUGCAGGGUGAUAGAGGUAUCCAGGACUUUUGUCUCCAAGGAAAACAUGAAGCAGAUGGAUUGCUGAAUAUAUUUGAUCCUGUUGAAGUGACUGAGUUUUCCUUUAGAGAACCUAAGAAUGUAUAACUCCAGGGAAAUCAACAAGUUGUAAAAUAAAGGAAAUGUCACAGCACACUACA
Molecule: non-coding RNA, 2360 nt
Organism: Macaca mulatta (Rhesus monkey)
Lineage: Eukaryota; Metazoa; Chordata; Mammalia; Primates; Cercopithecidae
Source: RefSeq, a predicted model, not a curated record